RNAcentral lists this ribosomal RNA (446 nucleotides) under uncultured bacterium. Its description in RNAcentral is "partial 16S ribosomal RNA". It matches the Rfam family "Bacterial small subunit ribosomal RNA", at positions 338 to 795 of the family's 1533-position model. The record is from RNAcentral.
CCUACGGGCGGCAGCAGUCGAGAAUCAUUCACAAUGGGGGAAACCCUGAUGGUGCGACGCCGCGUGGGGGAAUGAAGGUCUUCGGAUUGUAAACCCCUGUCAUGUGGGAGCAAAUUAAAAAGAUAGUACCACAAGAGGAAGAGACGGCUAACUCUGUGCCAGCAGCCGCGGUAAUACAGAGGUCUCAAGCGUUGUUCGGAAUCACUGGGCGUAAAGCGUGCGUAGGCUGUUUCGUAAGUCGUGUGUGAAAGGCGCGGGCUCAACCCGCGGACGGCACAUGAUACUGCGAGACUAGAGUAAUGGAGGGGGAACCGGAAUUCUCGGUGUAGCAGUGAAAUGUGUAGAUAUCGAGAGGAACACUCGUGGCGAAGGCGGGUUCCUGGACCUUAACUGACGCUGAGGCACGAAGGCCAGGGGAGCGAAAGGGAUUAGAUACCCGAGUAGUC